Molecule: long non-coding RNA, 3013 nt
Organism: Capsicum annuum
Lineage: Eukaryota; Viridiplantae; Streptophyta; Magnoliopsida; Solanales; Solanaceae
Exons: 8
Source: RefSeq, a predicted model, not a curated record
UAGUGCAGAAAUUUGGUCCCCAACACUACAAAUUCAUUCCUUUUUGGCUUUAUUUAUUCAACACAAGGUAAAUACAUUGCAUAUUUACUCAUUCCUUUUUGCGAAACCCUUUUUUUAUGUGUCUAAUUGAAUUGGUUGUUCUGAGAAGAAUUAUAUUCAGAUCUGGUUGAUUCUACAUAGUUGGGCUUUGUGGAUUUUGUUCUCUAGCAGAAGAAAGGCAAAAAGAGCAGCAAAGGCAAUUUCGUAGAUUUUCAAAUAAAAUUACGAUGCAAUUACCUCAAUAGCAGCAAAACACAAACAAGGAAACAACUUCACAUCCACAGAAGCACCAAUCUUUACUCGAUCGAAAAGCCGAAGAAGAAACAACGAAAGAGUUAGCGGCACCAAUCUUUGGUCGAUCGAAAAGCCGAACAAGGAACAACGAAAGAUGAAAUAAAAUUACGAUGCAAUUCCUUGAUAGCAGCAAAACACAAAGAAGGAAAGAACUUCAAAUCCGCAGAAACACCAAUCUUUGGUCGAUCAAAAAGCCGAACAGGGAAUAACGAGCGGCAGAAUUGGAUAAGGAAGAUAGCCAAGCGGCUGUAUGUUGUAAGAACCAGGCAAAAUUAGAGGUUUGAUAGCAGCGAAACACAGACAAGAAACAAACUUCAAACCGGCAGAAACAUCAACCUUUGCUCGAUGAAAUUAUCAGGAGAAAAGCCAAAGAGGAAAGAAAGAAAAAUUUAGAGGUGGAAAUGGAUAAGGAACAUAGUGAGGCGACUCUCUAUAAUUGGAUUAAAGAAGAGAAGCUGAGGCAGUGAGAGUUAUAAUUCAUCAGAAUUAUGAUAAUAUCUUUUUUUUUCCUCAAACAGACAUGUCGACGAUGCCAUGUUUCCUUGAGCAGCCACACCUUAUUGUAUAGUAGAAAGAGGGAGUUUUGGAACGACCAGUGGAAAAUCCGUAAUUAAGCACAAUAUGCAUGGAUGUUACUGAGCCAAUACUGAUUGACAACAACAACAAGAAGAUACUGGUGUAUUCCAACAAAAUGGAGUAUAUUUUUCUGAAGAUGUUGUCUUCAGCGAAACCCGCUAAUUCUCUUCUUGAUUUGGUCAUCGUCAUCUAUUUUUCUCCUCGCUUGUCAAUUUCGCUAUUCUUCUCAGUUAUUGGCACUUUUUCCUCUCAACUUGUGACAAAGAUGAUUUAGGAGACUGAGUAGGUGGAGUCAAAUCACAUUUUCGCUAUUUACUGAUCAAGCUCCUCUAUGACAGGUGUACAGUCUUGCAAUAAUCGAGGAGGAGGAUAAGGAGAAGAUUAUGCUGCAUAAAACACACAUCAUUGAGAGGCUCCUUGGGUUUUGGUAAGGAAGCACUGCAGUCUCUUUCAGGCAAAAUUGGAUCAUAGGUCCCUAUAGACAAAGGGCACUUCUGACAUAAGAGGAAAAGAAAGUGCCUUAUAAGAUUGUCUUGAUCAAUGUUAGUGACAAGCCCAAAUGGUUCUUGGAGGUGAACCCAGAAGGGAAAGUUUCAGUGAUCAAUUUUGGUGAUAAAUGGAUCCCUGAUUCCGAUGUCACUGUUGGGCUUCUUGAAGAGAAAUAUCCAAAUCCCUCUCUCAUUGCUCCCCCUGAAUUUUCCUCUAUGUAUGUUUUCUUCCUACUCCAUCUGUUUCAAAUUUUUCUAUAUUGUUUACAUUUCUCUGAACCUCAACUAACUCCAACGGAUACCUGCCAUUUGCUCCAACACCACGAUCACAGACCAUGUAAUUUGUCCACCAAGGCUUGGAGAGGUAGGAAGAAGUGAGAGUAGCAGCUUGAUUUCAACAUGGUUGGUUAAAGUUAUUAAAUAUGUAUUCUAGGGUAUUUUAGACUUUAUAAAUGCUAAAGAAAAUUAUGACGUGUUAAUCAUAAAUUUAGCCAUCAGAACAGUUGGCUAUCAAGAAUUUUCUUCCAUAUCCAUUAUCUUUUUUUUUUUUUUCUGUUCUUCUCUUAAUAGUUUUAGUUUGGACCACGUUCUUCCACUCAGUUUUUCAUUUUGUUAGUAAUUGUUUUUGUAUAAUUUUUUUUAAUUUGCUUGUGGCUUUAAAAGUUAGCGAUGCCAAAAGCAAGGCCCAUGAAAUCGUGGGUGGUGAAAGGAUAUUCUCAAUAAGUAACAAGCCCAAAAGGUAAUGUUUUCUACUCCUACAACUAUGUAGUAAGCUGCUUCGGUUCGAUUCGAUUUAAUCUAUAACCUUAUGGUUGUAAUGGACUCAACAGUGAUAUGUCUGUUCUAAUUUAAUCUUUUAUUGUUCUAAUUUCACGGUUCAGAUUUGAAGAUUGAAACAAUUGAAGUUUGAUUGUGAAUUUAGGCAUAGAAUUCAAAAGAUGCCAACAUAAAAUUGCCAUGUACGAAAUGUUUCUUUCUUUCGUUUUUUAUGGUUGAUUAAAACUUUCAAGUUCUUUUAUAUUAUUGUGAUGUUGUGAAUAUGUGUAUACAUAGAUGUUUUUUACUGCAUUUUUGUUUCUGAAAUUCCUUUUGCAUGGAUUGUGUUCUCAUUCGUGAUUUUGAAGGCCAUAUUUGAAAUAGAAAAGUCAUGUGAAUUGGAUCGUAACAGUUAUUUUUUUACUAUAAAAAAAUGGUAAGUUAUUCCAUGAUCUUAAAGAUGUUUUCUGUUGUCUCGGAUGGCACACUACUGCCACCUAUGGUGUGUGCUCCAAAACUGGAGGUCCUUUUGGUACUAUGAGGUUCAAAGCUAAACAAUCACAUGGUGCAAACAAUGGUAUCGACAUUGCUAUCAGACUCUUGGAGUCCAUUAGGGAGCAGUUUCUCACCCUCUCCUAUGCUGAUUUUCAUCAGUAUGUACUCUUGUAUUAAUCGUUAUGUUUGGUAUUACUUUACUACUUCAGAAAAGGGUUGUUUCGACAUGUUUGUUUUAAGUAAUUUAAUUCAAAGCUGAGGGCAUAUUCGUAUUGUAGAGCUUUAUAAUUUUCUUACGUGUCUCUUGAGUAACACGUGUAUGGCUUCUACUUUAAUUCAUCUCAUUCACCGCUCCUUAUCUCUAA